Molecule: ribosomal RNA, 465 nt
Filed under: Vreelandella stevensii
Lineage: Bacteria; Pseudomonadati; Pseudomonadota; Gammaproteobacteria; Oceanospirillales; Halomonadaceae
Description: partial 16S ribosomal RNA
Rfam family: Bacterial small subunit ribosomal RNA
Source: RNAcentral
CCUACGGGCGGCUGCAGUGGGGAAUAUUGGACAAUGGGGGGAACCCUGAUCCAGCCAUGCCGCGUGUGUGGAGAAGGCCCUCGGGUUGUAAAGCACUUUCAGUGAGGAAGAACGCCUGGUGGUUAAUACCCAUCAGGAAAGACAUCACUCACAGAAGAAGCACCGGCUAACUCCGUGCCAGCAGCCGCGGUAAUACGGAGGGUGCGAGCGUUAAUCGGAAUUACUGGGCGUAAAGCGCGCGUAGGUGGCUUGAUAAGCCGGUUGUGAAAGCCCCGGGCUCAACCUGGGAACGGCAUCCGGAACUGUCAAGCUAGAGUGCAGGAGAGGAAGGUAGAAUUCCCGGUGUAGCGGUGAAAUGCGUAGAGAUCGGGAGGAAUACCAGUGGCGAAGGCGGCCUUCUGGACUGACACUGACACUGAGGUGCGAAAGCGUGGGUAGAAAACAGGAUUAGAUACCCCGGUAGUC